GUGGGGAAUCUUAGACAAUGGGCGCAAGCCUGAUCUAGCCAUGCCGCGUGAGCGAUGAAGGCCUUAGGGUUGUAAAGCUCUUUCAGCUGGGAAGAUAAUGACGGUACCAGCAGAAGAAGCCCCGGCUAACUCCGUGCCAGCAGCCGCGGUAAUACGGAGGGGGCUAGCGUUGUUCGGAAUUACUGGGCGUAAAGCGCGCGUAGGCGGACCAGAAAGUUGGAGGUGAAAUCCCAGGGCUCAACCUUGGAACUUCCUUCAAAACUCCUGGUCUUGAGUUCGAGAGAGGUGAGGGGAAUUCCGAGUGUAGAGGUGAAAUUCGUAGAUAUUCGGAGGAACACCAGUGGCGAAGGCGGCUCACUGGCUCGAUACUGACGCUGAGGUGCGAAAGCGUGGGGAGCAAACAGGAUUAGAAACCCCUGUAGUCC
RNAcentral lists this ribosomal RNA (425 nucleotides) under uncultured bacterium. RNAcentral describes it as "partial 16S ribosomal RNA". It matches the Rfam family "Bacterial small subunit ribosomal RNA", at positions 354 to 796 of the family's 1533-position model. The record is from RNAcentral.